CCAGAGCCCUAGAGAGCAGGGUGCUCCUUCAGACCCCAGGCCUUGUCUCUAGCCCUUCCUAAGUCAUCUCACUUCUCCCUACUUCUCACCUUCUGCCUUGGGUCCAACCUACUCCUAGGCUAUGAAGCCAUCCACCAGCCUUACCUAGGCACAGGCCAAUGCACUGCUGCCUGGGACAACAGGUCACUGCAGAACUGGCAUCACCCAAGAAUCCGAAGGACUCGGCUGAAUAAAGACCAUGAUCCGAAGUUAAAAGGAGUUUCAGUAGUCCCUCAAUGACCAACAGCCGACCUUAAGUUCACCACCAGAUGCUUCAUGACAAACUCACAAAGGCAAUAGCCACAAAGGGCCAACAACUUUCCCUGGGCAUCUAUCCAAGCCUGUCUUCAUGGUCCCUUCCAACAGCUGGACGUAUUGGCUGCCAGAUGUCCCUGAAACCGCAGGCUGCCUUACCUAUGUCAGGUAAUUUGGCUUCCCUGAUUGACCCAUCACUGAGAUCAUCACUAGCAGAAGGGAUACUGUUCCAGAACUAGCAGCCUCCAUUUCCUCCUCCUUGGGAUGUGUGUUGUGAGAAGCUCAUGUCACAUAAAAGGCAACAUGUGGGCACCUAAGCAGAUAAUCCCCAACUGAACACCCACUCAACAACUAGUGCCAACUGCCAUCCAUGAGCAUGCACCAUCUUGGAUGUUCCAGCCCAGUCAAGCCCCAGAUGACUGCAGCUCCAGCCAACAACACACGGAACAGAAGAACCACCCAGCUGAGCCCAGCCAAUCCCUGAGCCCAGGGAAUUAUGAUGAUGAAACUAUACCCUAAAGAGUUAAUGAAACCAAUGACAGAAAUUACUGAGUUUGCAGGAUAACAGAUAAGAAAAAAAAACAACUUGCUGAGAUGCUGAAAUUCCCUCCUCUUCUGAGUAUUUUUUUUUUUUUAACUCACAAGUUUUUUAAAAAGUUGGCAGUGGGCUAAAAUUAAUUGGAACCAGGAUGACCAACUGGAGAUUGUGCACAAGUUUGCUGACAUCACAGCCCAAAUUUCCACCACAUAUUUCAUACUAACUUCUCCCAAAUUUGCAUAUGCAACCUAUGAAGUAACAUAAAGAAAUAAGUACACACACCCAAGGACUUUCCAGACUUCCCCUUUCCCUCCACCAACCACCUGCUAAUCCCAGUAUCUACCCCCUAAGCCUUUCCUAAU
Molecule: long non-coding RNA, 1194 nt
Filed under: Homo sapiens (human)
Lineage: Eukaryota; Metazoa; Chordata; Mammalia; Primates; Hominidae
Description: HSALNT0370792
Source: RNAcentral